This 433-nucleotide ribosomal RNA is filed under the name uncultured bacterium. RNAcentral describes it as "partial 16S ribosomal RNA". It matches the Rfam family "Bacterial small subunit ribosomal RNA", at positions 29 to 507 of the family's 1533-position model. The record is from RNAcentral.
AGCGAACGCUGGCGGCAGGCCUAACACAUGCAAGUCGAACGGAUCCUUCGGGAUUAGUGGCGGACGGGUGAGUAACACGUGGGAACGUGCCCUUUGGUUCGGAACAACUCAGGGAAACUUGAGCUAAUACCGGAUGUGCCCUUCGGGGGAAAGAUUUAUCGCCAUUGGAGCGGCCCGCGUCUGAUUAGCUAGUUAGUGAGGUAACGGCCCACCAAGGCGACGAUCAGUAGCUGGUCUGAGAGGAUGAUCAGCCACACUGGGACUGAGGCACGGCCCAGACUCCUACGGGAGGCAGCAGUGGGGAAUCGUGCGCAAUGGGCGAAAGCCUGACGCAGCCAUGCCGCGUGAAUGAUGAAGGUCUUAGGAUUGUAAAAUUCUUUCAGCGGGGACGAUAAUGACGGUACCCGCAGAAGAAGCUCCGGCUAACUUCGUG